CCCAGCAGCCUUGCAGCACUAACCCCCUGAAAUGGCAGAUGGCAGAACUAGAACUUGGGAAUCAGGAGCAGUUCCUACAAGAGGAAGAACUGGCUUGGAGACUGCAGGAGGAGGAGUAGACUCAUGCAAGAGGAAGGAGGAACCGGGAACGCAAUGACAACUAUCGAGCAGCCCAGGUGGCUCAGGAUGAGGUAACAGGCUAGAUGAGAUUGCUAGAUAUAUGCAGAACCAGGAACUGAAAGCCCAGUGGAGAUCCCAUGAGACAAACCUGGGGACAGAGAACAGUGAUGAGGGGAGCAACUUAUCUGAGCCAAGGAGAAGCAAGGAGAAGAAGGCAAUAGUUUCCUCGAAAUACUGUUGAAGAUCUGGACCCAACUUUUAAGUCAAAAAAGAACCACCUGCUGAAGUGUUUGCAUUCUGCUCCCAAGCUGCCCAGUCACACACUGUCCCAGUUGAUGGCCUCUUUGAUUAUAUGGAUACCACCAUCGGACCUGCCUUUAUUCACCGACUAAACGUCAGCCUAAAAAGCUAGGAUGCCAAAAAUCCAGGGACAAGAAGGAAGGCUGUAAGCAGCAGUGAAUCCUAGAGCCUUCACCUACAGCCUACUUCUUCUAGCAACAACAAAAUAUGUUUCUUCGCCAUAACUAAGAGGAGAAAAUAAUGGCUCGAAAAUAUUUUCCAGAAAGUAUUGAAGAAACUAAACUUGAAAAGAACAAUAGCUUAACAUUUCUCUUGAAGACUGUGAUGUAAGUUGAGGAGACUGCAUGUGAUACUGCAAACUGCAGCAGACACUUUUCUGACAUGCUCCAAGGGAAAGGAGCUUUUCAGCUGUGUCUACUGUUUACGUGUGAAAUAAUGGUGCUUUUGAACAACCCCCAUUUAUCAUCAAGAACAUGUGCUUAUCUGGGAUCUAGAGUGGGAACAGGCCAUUCAGUGUGAACGUAGUAAAGGCAGGUACUACUGGAAUAUGUUCUAGGAAGUACAUGAGGCCAUGGCUAAGACUUUAAUAUUUUAUAAAGACACUUCACAGAUCACUAUUGAUAAUUCAAAUACUGUAAAAGUUUUGAGAUAUGUUAAAUAGAUUUGCUACAGACAUUAUUCACUUGAGAUUACCUUAUUUCCUAUAGAGUUGUUUUUGACAUGGAGCAUAUUGAAGUGCAAAGCACAUUAUUUAAAAUUGGUGCUAAUGUUUUUAGUUUUACACUUUCAUGUGUGUUCAUUUUCUGCUCCUUGCACCUUCCAUAAAAGGCAGUAGCACAGGCUGCUGUUCAGCAGUUCUGUUGGCAAAUAAGAACUGUGUCCCUUGUAGGAAAUGCCCUGGUAGUGUUCUGAACCUUCCUUUGCAUUUGUACCAUGUGUUAAUUUCAGUGUGUAUUUCAAGCUCUUUUUAUAAACUUACUUGUAGAUGUAUGCAUUAUGCCCUUCAUAUUCCAAGUUAAA
Molecule: long non-coding RNA, 1440 nt
Organism: Terrapene triunguis (Three-toed box turtle)
Lineage: Eukaryota; Metazoa; Chordata; Testudines; Emydidae
Exons: 6
Source: RefSeq, a predicted model, not a curated record